GAUGAACGCUGGCGGCGUGCUUAACACAUGCAAGUCGAACGAAGCACUUUAUUUGAUUUCCUUCGGGACUGAUUAUUUUGUGACUGAGUGGCGGACGGGUGAGUAACGCGUGGGUAACCUGCCUUGUACAGGGGGAUAACAGUUGGAAACGGCUGCUAAUACCGCAUAAGCGCACGGCAUCGCAUGAUGCAGUGUGAAAAACUCCGGUGGUAUAAGAUGGACCCGCGUUGGAUUAGCUAGUUGGUGAGGUAACGGCCCACCAAGGCGACGAUCCAUAGCCGACCUGAGAGGGUGACCGGCCACAUUGGGACUGAGACACGGCCCAAACUCCUACGGGAGGCAGCAGUGGGGAAUAUUGCACAAUGGGCGAAAGCCUGAUGCAGCGACGCCGCGUGGGCGAAGAAGUAUUUCGGUAUGUAAAGCUCUAUCAGCAGGGAAGAUAAUGACGGUACCUGACUAAGAAGCACCGGCUAAAUACGUG
Molecule: ribosomal RNA, 481 nt
Filed under: uncultured bacterium
Lineage: Bacteria
Description: partial 16S ribosomal RNA
Rfam family: Bacterial small subunit ribosomal RNA
Source: RNAcentral